This 404-nucleotide unclassified non-coding RNA is filed under the name Hevea brasiliensis (rubber tree). The record is from RNAcentral. Lineage: Eukaryota; Viridiplantae; Streptophyta; Magnoliopsida; Malpighiales; Euphorbiaceae.
UCUAACAAGUAUAUUUAAAAAAAUAAUUUAACUAGUAUAUUUAAAAAUAUAAUUUUCUCAGUUUCACCGUUAAAACUAAAUGAGCAAUUGGAAUCUCAAACCUGCUGAUUCCAACCACUCGUCCAAACAUGCACCCAAGACCUCUUGGCUACUCAAAAUUAGACAAUCUAUGCUAAAACUAACAAAUUUAAGACUUGACUAUUUCUAAGGCAUUCUUGCUAAUGAUAUGAUAAAAAAAACCAAGUCCACAACGCAUUUCUCAAACAUUGAAAAAAAAAAUUAUCAUCAAAACUAGCAGCAUCUUUCUUGUCUCGAGAAAAUGAGCAAGAAAAGUAAAGAUAUACUUACAUUUACACUGUUGAGAUACUUUUCUUUAUCAACCCUCACAAUCUGACCUUUCUUCA